GACGAACGCUGGCGGCGUGCUUAACACAUGCAAGUCGAGCGGAAAGGCCACUUCGGUGGUACUCUAUCGGCGAACGGGUGAGUAACACGUGAGUAAUCUGCCCCUCACUUUGGGAUAGCCACCGGAUACGGUGAUUAAUACUGGAUAUGACUAUUUUUCGCAUGCCGUGUGGUGGAAAGUUUUUCGGUGAGGGAUGUGCUCGCGGCCUUUCAUCCUGAUUGUGAGGUAAUGGCUCUCAAUGGCUUCGCCGGGUAGCCGGCCUGGGAGGGUAGCCGGUCACACUAGGACUGAGAGAGGGCCCAGACUCGUACGGGAGGCAGCAGUGGGGAAUAUUAGACAAUGGGCGGGAGACUGAUCCAGCAGCGCCGCGUGAGGGAUGACGGCAUUCGGGUUGUAAACCUCUUUCAGUACCGACGAAGCGAAAGUGACGGUAGGUACAGAAGAAGCACCGGCCAACUACGUG
Molecule: ribosomal RNA, 463 nt
Filed under: uncultured bacterium
Lineage: Bacteria
Description: partial 16S ribosomal RNA
Rfam family: Bacterial small subunit ribosomal RNA
Source: RNAcentral